This is a long non-coding RNA of Anguilla rostrata (American eel), 341 nucleotides long. RefSeq lists it as uncharacterized. The record is from RefSeq and is a predicted model, not a curated record. The transcript is spliced from 2 exons. Lineage: Eukaryota; Metazoa; Chordata; Actinopteri; Anguilliformes; Anguillidae.
CAUACAUUACUCUGAUGCUUGUAUGUUAUAAAAAAUAUUAAUAAAAAAAAAUCACUGACCAGCCAUGCAAAAUGCUCAGUAAUAUUUCCUGUACUUAAACAAAUAUACAUCUGCACUUCUAACAUAGCCUUUGAUAAUUGUGUCAAAAAUGUCUGUACAGGCAAAAAUUAUUACACCACCUGCAGUUUAAAAAAAAAAAAAAAAAAAAAACCUUAGGCAGAGAAGAAUUCAAGUAAUAUGUGGAUUUAUUGAAUAACAAACCAAAGUAUAAACACUUCUCCCCCCCCCCCCCAAUUUCCACUUACAAUAACACAAAAAGAUGAGUAUUACUUAAGGAUCUU